GCCGUUCUAUUGAUUUCAAGAUAUUGCAUACAAGUUCUUAAAAUGUGUUAUUAAAUAGGAUUUUCUCCUGUUAUUUGCCAUGAGUAGAAUGUGAAACACCCCCCAAAAAGCCACGGUGGAGGGGCAGCUGAGGAGGCAGGUGAGUGCCACUCGAGUCACUGUGCUGCUGACGAUGCCACCUCCCUGCAACAGGGCUGGCUUUGUCUGAAGCACAGCCACAGCAGCUCACAGAUCUGCUCUGGGUUGUGCUGCAGGGGAAUCACCCCUUCUCUAGGGGAUGCACACAGUCCCCAGCCAGGAGACAUGCUCACUUGGUGCAUAAACAAACCUGAAGGUGACUACACCAGAUGAAAUAUUAAUAACAGCUCCUCCUUUCCAUUUCCACCACACCUCUGGUGAUUCUUUGCACCCAUACAAACCUGCUCAUGAGGACUCCUGGAGCUGCAGGAUAGAAGCACAAUUAAUGCACAACGUGCUCACCCUGGCCUGUCACACCAACAGACUGCAUCAAGGAGUUGUCAGGCUGCAAGAAGAACCUUCCUGCAAACCCAGAGAUUUCCACCUGCAGGGCUGGAAAUAUUCUCGUCCACGAGCCUUGGCACACACACCCUCCACCCUGUCCUGUGUGCAGGGCAGCCUUGUGCCACAUGUCCAGAUUUUCAUAUCCACAAUCAUAGAAAGCCACAUGAUGUUUUGUUUCAUAUUUAUGUAUAAGUGCUACAAAGCUUUCUGAUGCUCCAUAUUCUCUUUGCAAGCAGAAAAGAAGAAGCAGUUGCAUCCCUUUUCUUCAGACUUGUGCCAUUUUUCCCCUUUCAGGAUCAGCAAUUGUCAGGCUGUUGUUUAACAAUCCCUUGUGCUGGUGCUGU
Passer montanus (Eurasian tree sparrow) is the source of this 866-nucleotide long non-coding RNA. RefSeq lists it as uncharacterized. The record is from RefSeq and is a predicted model, not a curated record. NCBI's taxonomy places the organism in Eukaryota, Metazoa, Chordata, Aves, Passeriformes, Passeridae. The transcript is spliced from 4 exons.